RNAcentral lists this long non-coding RNA (370 nucleotides) under Mytilus galloprovincialis (Mediterranean mussel). The record is from RNAcentral. Lineage: Eukaryota; Metazoa; Mollusca; Bivalvia; Mytilida; Mytilidae.
UUUUUUUCUUAGGUAUAAUUAACCUCAAUUUACUCAAUUUUCUUUGUAAUAUAUAUACUAGUAGUAACAUGGAUAUCGUUUUUGGGGACCUUUAUAGUUUGUUGUUCAGUGUGAGCCAAUGCUCCGUGUUGAAGACCGUACUUCGGUCUAUGAUGGUUUACUUUUACGAAUAGUGACUUAGAUGGAGAGUUUUCUUAUUGGCACUCAUACCACAUCUUCUUAUAUUAUUCUGCUCAUUAUUAGUCAUUGAUAUGAUCUAAUUAUUCAAGCAUUUUACUUUGCAAUGACUACAAAGGUGAUAAAUUUUAAUAUAUACAGCCUCCUCCAUUAAUAACUACUGUUUCCUUUGAAUCUUAAAUAAGAAAUAAGA